GGCCGGCUAACGACGUACAUUGCAUCGUGAGAUAAAGGAUUUGCAGUUUGUUUAUGCGUUGCACGGGUGUCGCGCGCGGGCGGGACGUCAGUGCGCGCGCGAUGCGUCCGCAGCAGCACGCGUGCAACGUCCGAGCUGCGCAUUUAAACACUUCUGUCCAUGAGUUAUGGCUAACUGGUCGGUCAUGGAGCGCGAGUGGACCCCCAACCAGUACGAUCCGUACCAGUACGGAUACAACUUCUACUACGAGGAAAAACAACCCGAGCAGUACCAGCCGCCCCCGCCGCAAGCGCAGAACUAUGGCUCUCCUCCGUCGCCAGGCCUGACUCUUGUGCUCGCCUCUCCUGAACUGGCUUCAUCACAAGAACUCCAACUGCAGUAUGUCAAUACGGUCGCUCCUCCUAAAACGGACAACCCACGGGAGAUCCGCAACAAGGCGGAGAAGCAGCGGCGUGACAAGCUGAACCAGUCCAUCGCCGAACUGGCCGCCAUGGUGCCGCCGGUGGUAGCCGCCAGUCGCAAGAUCGACAAGACCGGCAUACUCAGGCUUACUGCACAUUACUUGCGAUCGCAUCAAUAUGUGUUCGGGGACUCCAUCGGUCAAGCACCCCGGGACUUCAGCCCCGCGGCGUCGCAAGCGCUGCUGACGAUGCUGAACGGCUUCCUCAUCACCACCACCUACAAGGGCCUGGUUGUCGUCGUCUCGCAGAACGUGCAGCAAUAUCUCGGAUACACUGAGUUGGAACUUUUGGGCCAGAACAUCUUCACAGUGGUACACGAGGACGACCGCCAGAUAAUGAAGGACGCGCUAAUGCCCAAGAGUCACCUACUGGGAAAUAACGGAGAACUUCUAAUACCGGAUGAACCCAACGGCAAGAAGAUUGUGGCUGAGGCCCUAGCCAGUGAGAAGCGCAGUUUUAUUGUCAGGUUUAAGAAACUAAGCCAGCGUUCGGAGCCAAGUCAAUAUGUGACGUGCUACGUGGAGGGUUCGCUUCGAAAGUCGGACCGGGCGUGCCGCGGGUACAACCGCUGCUGUCAAAUGGUGCGCCGCGCACGCGCACGCGGCGACAACCCCUGCUCCAGCGGCAAUGACAUCGUGUUUGUAGGCGUAGUGCGUCCAACAACGGAAACUUUCCACACAGAAAGUGCCAUGGAGACCUUCCGUAUGGAGUACCGCACCAGACACUGCAUCGACGGCCAGAUCAUCCAAACGGAACACCGUAUCGGCCUGGUCACCGGCUACAUGACAGAUGAAGUCAAUGGGGUCAAUGCUCUCAACUUCAUGCACAAGGAUGACGUCCGAUGGGUCAUCAUUGCCCUCAGAGAAAUGUACGACCAACACAGGCUAUUUGGAGAAUCGUGCUAUCGCCUGAUGACUAAGAACGGGCAGUUCAUUUACAUGAGGACCAGGGGUCGUCUAGAUGUAGACCAAGACUCCAGGGCCGUUACAAGCUUUGUUUGCACUAAUACUGUAGUGGAGGAACAGGAAGGCAAGCAUUUGAUCAAGCUGAUGAAGAAAAAGUUUACCCUGCUAGUUAAUAACAACGAAGAUCCUCCCCAGGAAGAUGAAGCAAUAGAGAAUACUAAUAAUCACACGUUACCAGUAGAAGACCCACGUCAGCUGGAGAAAGUGAUUUUACAUCUUGUCACUAACUUACCAUCGCCGCAAUCUGAAGACGACCCUCCCAGCGUGUCCCCUGAUCGCCGGAAUUCCCCCUCUCCGCGACUCUCCAUCAUACCGCCUCCGAAGAAACGCAUAGUCAGUGCCAUUGAGAAAAUAUACAGUGUUUUAAACACAUUUUCCAAACCUCGGGAGGUCAAAUCUCACUCAACCUCAAUUGAAGAACUUAAUAGCCUCAGCAGCUCUCCAGUUACUGAAACGUCUUCUAAUACAACAUUUAAUAUGUCUGACUCUCCUCUACCAUUAGCUUUUACUCCGACAAUGUACACUGGAACUACUUCGUCAAAUCAUUUUGCUAAAUUGCCCACAUUCAAUAAAAUAUGUAAGCGGGAGCAACCGAACAAUGAUUCUGGAAACCAGCCAUAUUUUCACAGUGUGGGCAACAAUACCGCUUACCAAUUAUCUGGAAACUCUGCCGUGAGUGCUAUAACGGCACCAAUGUCAUUUUACAAAAAUCCCGAAUCGAACGUAGUCCAAAAUGAUUCAAAGUACCAAUUUCUUAAUUCACAACAGAAAGAUGAAAAAAAUCAGCUGAUAGAUUCUCAACAGACCAGCAUUGUGACUACUGGUUUAAAACGACAGAGAGACUGUAAAGAUGGCGAUGUAGCCUUUAAAAAGAAAAAUGUCGAAACAUCGCAGUUAGAAAAUGACACUUAUCGAGCUUUAGGUCAAGAGGCUCCAUCCUUCGACACUUUCUUUGACGAAGAAUUGCUUAACACAUCGUUCUCACAGAUCGAUAGUGCGAUAGAUUCCCUGGAGCAGACUAUUAUAGAUCCUUCUUUCCCAGAUUUAUUGAAACAGCAUUAGAGAGAGACGUGUAGGAAAAUAUGGAGAUUUUCCAGCAGUGAGACACACAACUAUAAUCUAAAAGAUCUCGAAGGAGGUGCAAGACAUACUUGGUGCCAUCGACGACGGCCCCAAUGACGACCACGUCACCUAAACAACCAUGACCCCCCUUUGGUCCUGUCUUUUGUGCUCCAUUACAUAUAUAAAACGACAAAGCGUUUCCUACUAGCUAACAGCUCUUUGAUGGAAAUCGCAAUGUUGUCAUCCAGAGAUCUCUAUUUAUUUUAAAUUAUAUAAUCAAAAAUAGUUAAUAAGCAUAUUGUAAGUCACGUCAACCAGCCUUUUCUGAUUAUCUAAAUUGCGGGUUUAUUGUAGUCACUAGCAUAUUAUUUAGUAAAGUAUGUGUGUCAGUGAUUCCUGAUUUUAUAAAUACAUUUUUGGUAUACAUAUAUAACUUAUUGAUUUAGACCCGUUUUCGUUGUUUGUUAUUUAAAUCAUUUCCCAUUCUUGACUCACCACAUUGCAUUGUUAUAUAAUUUAAGCUUGUUUAAAAUAAUUUUAGUGGAGGUAGUUAGGCGCUAUGUUAAUCAAUAUUAUUAGCUUGAAUGAGUUAUGUAGAUGUACCUAUCAUUAAAUGUUAUCAAUUUACAUAACCAUAAAAAUGUUAUAUGAGCUGCCAUACGCGUUUUGUAUUUGGUAAGAAUGUCAUAAAAUCAUGCACUUAAAAGCUUUUUGUCCAUAAUAUUAGAAGCCCAUAUUAUCGAUGUUUCAUCAUGAGUAGAAGAUUAUGAAGUAAGUGCGUGAAAUGUCGAUAUUUUUAUGAUGACAGCCUAGUCAGAAUUAUUACAUUUUGUAUAUAUAUAUAAUCCCCUUCAGAUCAAAUAUGUAUGAAUUAAAACUUGUUUAUUUUAGUAAUUUUUUCAUUAUUUUCAUUUAUAAUAUUUCAAUGUGAAUGUUUAAUAUAUUAGUUAUUUUAUAUUCAGAUGUAUGUAAGACUGAAUAUUGUUAUAAUGAUUGAUCAUAGGUUAGAUUAUUCUUAAGUAUCUAGUUAAUUCAGCAUUUGUAGGUUUGAUAUUUGAGGUUUUCUGUUAAUCUAAUUGUAACAACUCGUAACUACUUAGGUUAUAAUCAAAUCCAAAAUGAUAUCAUUAUAUUGAUGUUACUCUAUAAUAUUAUUAAAAAUAUAUAUGUGUCAGAGAGUUGUCUAUUCCCUAUAAUAAUGCCAUUUAAAAACGAAGUGUCUGUAAUGUUAUAUAGAUAGAUACAUUUCCACGACCUAAUCCAUAUUUAUUAUAGAUGUUAGAGGUUGUCUAUCUGUCUGUCUAUCACGCUUUUAUGCCUCAACAUUUGGCCGAUUGUGAUGAAACUUGGAACAGAUAUAGUUAAUGUUCCGUGGAUAAAUACAAGCUACCAUGGACACAGCUGUGGGUAACAUUUACGUAGGUCCUUUUGUAUAAUUUAAUUUUGAUUUAUAAUGAAUUUAAUUCAAAAUGCACUUAUAUAUACGAGAUGUAAAGUUCAUUAUAAUGGAGAUGCCUACCGAGUAUCUCAUUUAUUUUUAUUUCUCAUACGAGUUACCCGAAUCUAGAGACAAGUAACAAAUGCUCAAAAUCACAAAUUAGUUGUAGGGUGUCUGUCAAUGUUAUAUUUGUAACACUCUGCCUAUAUUUUUCUAUCCGUAAAAUCUAUUACAAUGAGUACCUGGAUAAUAACAUAAGUAGUUAUUAACAGAUAAUUUAAAAACAUGAUUCCUUUUGAAUUUCAGAAUACAAACCCAUGAAUUUCAGAAUACAAUUACAAUUUUUAUUCUAAGUACCUUAGUAUACUUAUUAGAUGUUUACGAAGUAGGACUUAUAGCAUGCCUAAUAUUAGAAUCUUCUUCAGUGUUUAAUAUGAAAGUCGCUCGUAGGCUAAAUAAAAAUCUUAGAAACAUAUUAUUCUAUGUGCAUGUGCAGUUAUAUAAUUAUUUAGUGUAGGUAUGUAUAUAGAUAUCUUUGUCAUUACCCACAUUUAGAAGGCGUUUAAGAACGUUUAACUGGCUGCGUACUAAAAUGUGUAAAAUGUACAUUCUCUUGGAGCAUGCAUUCAUUUUGGAGCCCGGCUCCAUUGCACUCCGUCGUCCUCCAUUGCAUUGACGUCACAGGUUGACGUCCAACGACACAACGCAGAAAGUGAAUGGAGCUUUGACGUUAGUCUACGCAUGGUAGUCAAACAAUUAGGACGUGGCAAACAUCCCUAUUUCUAUGCCAGUUUAUAGAUUUAUUAAUAACUAGCUUUUGCCCGCGGCUUCGCCCGCGUGAAUUUCAUAACAAAAUCGACGUUUUACGUCCCGGUUUAUUAUUAACCACAAACGUAAAUAUUUUUUUUUGUAUUUACUAUUACUAUUAUUUACUACAAAAAAUAAGUGUGCCAAUUUUCAGCUUUUUAUCUUGAAAAUUGUAUUAAUGCCCCUUUUGAAGAGGUUGAGGGUUUAAUUUUCAGAAAAAUCUGAAACACGUGUUCAUUACUUUAUUGUAAACAAGCAAAAUCGAAAUUUUCAAAUCACUAACUUCAAUAGUGUGGACCUUUCAUAUUUACAGUUUGUCACCCCUUUCACCCAUCUCGGAGAAUUUCCAAAAAUCCUCUCUUAGUGCUCACCUACAAUAUAUAUACAUUAUGUUUGAGCGAAACCAUAGCGCGUUUUAAAAGUCUUGGUGGCGCCAUCUAUUAUCUUUAUGUUCAAAACUACAAUAUAACAAAAUUAAAUUGAAAAUUGAUACCUUCUAAUUAUAUCUAUAUUAGACUAUCAGAAGUUUGUUUACAUUCUGUUUACACCUUACUACAAAAUUUUAAAGUAAAUCGUCUCCGUGGAUUGUUAUUUUAAUUUUCCUACAGGCCUCCUUAUUUUCCAUCGUCUAUAAGAUGUUAACCCGGGAUUCCGAGGAAAUUUUAAUUCAUAAUUAGUUCUUCAAUUAUCCUACGGGAACCUGACUAUUUACCGGGAUGAAAUGUAUCUAACUAAGAUGUUAACCCGGUAUAUUACGUACCUACAUACCAAAUUUACAGACAGACAGACUGACAAAAAUCUCUAAAACUAUAUUUUCGCCAUCUAUAUCAACUAAGUAUAUUCCAUAAAGAAUUUAAAAAAUAUAUCCAAUUUACAAAUUUGGCCUUUCUUCAAUUUUAAUAUACGUAUUGAUGAUGAUACCGAGAUACGCUUCUCUUUUGAUCCCCGUUCAAAUUACUUAUUAAAUACGAUAGAACGUUUGAAAUAUAUUUUACUUUAAUAUUUACUCUGCUAAUGUGCAACAAAAACUACGCAAUAUGAUUUGAUCCGAACAAAAACCAAUAUUUUUAUAUACGUAGCAUAACGUCACUAAAAAAAUUCUCAAUAAUUUCAGUACCUUCUUGAAUCUUUAUGUCUAUUGCUAUUUAUUUAUUGUUUUUAGAAGACAUUUUCCAACCUAAAUCUCCUUUUUAUGUAUAUUUUUAUUCCUGAAUGAAAUUCGUAGUACUUACUUAGGUACUAAUUAAAAUAAUAGAUAUGUAAUUACGCCAAAUCGAUUUUUACAUUCUUUUAUUUUCCAUUAAAUGUUAAGCCUUUAUAUUCAAUUAAAUUUUAAUUUUUAUAAACACAGAAAAACAAAAAAUAGGUACUGUGAUCAAUGAUCAUGUAUUGGCUUGAGGGGUCGUUCAUUAAUCACGUGUGGCUUGAAAGAAGGGGAGGGGGUGUAGUAAAAUAUCACGUGUAUUUAUUAUAUCGUCAAAUGCGCGAUUUCUAAACCGAAAAGCUUUGAAGUAUGUGUGAUACUAUCAUUAUGUAAUUUAUUACCGUAUUUAAACAUAAUCUUUUUAAAAAUAACAUUAUUUGUAGGUAUUAAAAAUACAUGUGAUUUUGAAUGGGGGGGGUGUUUUAAGGGGGGUUAAAAAUGUUAAAAAACAUCACGUGAUAAACUGAGGCCCCUUAGCAAUUAUUAUCAAAAAUAUUUUACUUUAGACAACUUUUUAUUGUGUAUAUGCAACGGCCAACCCCGAACCCUGUGGCUUGUUAGCUGUAGCCGGAUUUAGCCAGCUAGACCUAGGUGCAGUAGGUCUCCACUGAUCAGACCUAGGUGUAGCCGGCUUAUGUUCGGCUAGACUUUUACCAAGACCUAGAUGUAGCCGAAUUUCGGGGUGUAUCCGUAAAUGUUUAUAUCACCAAAAACAUUACGAGCAAGCGAAAUAAAUUUGCAAUAUUUUUGACAUAAUAUGGUUCCCCAUAUUAUAUCUUUGAAAAUAGACCUUGCGUCUUUCUGCAAUCUUAACGCGUUUUGUAAAGCAUUAUGUGGGUUGAUGUAGAAAUAAAUGUUAUUCGUCAGUAA
This is an RNA transcript of Plodia interpunctella (Indianmeal moth), 6807 nucleotides long. It is a transcript of the gene named neuronal PAS domain-containing protein 2-like, with no coding region annotated. The record is from RefSeq and is a predicted model, not a curated record. Lineage: Eukaryota; Metazoa; Arthropoda; Insecta; Lepidoptera; Pyralidae. The transcript is spliced from 11 exons.